UACAGAGGGGGCAAGCGUUGUUCGGAAUUACUGGGCGUAAAGGGCUCGUAGGUGGCCAACUAAGUCAGACGUGAAAUCCCUCAGCUUAACUGGGGAACUGCGUCUGAUACUGGAUGGCUUGAGUUUGGGAGAGGGAUGCGGAAUUCCAGGUGUAGCGGUGAAAUGCGUAGAUAUCUGGAGGAACACCGGUGGCGAAGGCGGCGUUCUGGACUGCAACUGACACUGAGGAACGAAAGCCAGGGGAGCAAACGGG
This 253-nucleotide ribosomal RNA is filed under the name uncultured bacterium. RNAcentral describes it as "partial 16S ribosomal RNA". It matches the Rfam family "Bacterial small subunit ribosomal RNA", at positions 524 to 776 of the family's 1533-position model. The record is from RNAcentral.